Molecule: non-coding RNA, 116 nt
Filed under: Nitrosomonas sp. Nm58
Lineage: Bacteria; Pseudomonadati; Pseudomonadota; Betaproteobacteria; Nitrosomonadales; Nitrosomonadaceae
Also listed under: 1 other name
Source: RNAcentral
GAGGGUAGGCCCCUCGAAGUCUGGUUACAGGACUCGGCUUCAAACCACCACGAGCUGCUUCGAUCAAAAGUCGCGGUAGUGAACGUCGUUGGAAAAGGCACUUGAAAGUGUCAGGU